UAUCUAUGAGUCAUCAGUGUCCUGAGAAGCUAAACGUCCUACUAAGGAUCCUGCAAAGGGAAAACAGAAGAGGAACUUGCACUUUUUGAGAACUUGCUGUGUGCCAUAAGCCUAAGUCCCUAUGUGGGAAGGAUUCUACCCACACAUGACAGAGGAGGAGACUGAAGCAUGAAAAAGAAAUGGCGUUUUGCUGGAGAAAGCAGCAUAGCGGAAUGUAAAGCGGUAAAGCGUGUAUGCUCUGGAGCCACAGACCUAGAUGGUGAAGUCUAGCUCUGGUACUUGACAGAUCCCAUUCUCCAUCAUCUCCACCCUGCUCUGUGACCCAGUCGGCUGCUCUGCUUGAACGACAUCAACAAGCUUCCUGCAUCCUCAUGUCUAGCUGAACUCAACCAGUGGGAAGUACCAGCAGGAGAUCAAAAGAAAGGAGCAAAGUACAGUCAAGAUGUUUAUUUAUUUCUCUGUUCUUUUCUGCCAAAGGUACACAAAAUCAGACACUAGUUAAAGGCAUUCAGGACAGAUUUUAUAUGGUAAUAACUAUCGCAAUGGAGUAGAGAGUCCAGUGUGAACUGAACUUCACCAAAACAAAAAGCUGGAGUCUUUUUAAAGGCUGGGGUAUGCUAGGGGAAAGGCACUGACAGGAAGAAGAACAGGGCUUGGUCCAUGGGCUUAGGCCAUCUGAGUCUGUUAACUGGUGUUUAUCAAAGUUGGGUUCCUGAUCCCUGCAGAGACUAGGAGACAAGGGCCCUAUCUUCAGGUGCUGGCUGGAACAAAUAGUAAAUUCUUUUGGCAGGCUUUCCCAGGCAGGAACCUAAGGGGACUGGAAUCAUAAUCCUAGGGAUGUGACCUUGAGCUGUUAGACUAUGCUAGGGUUUACAUCUCUUCGUGCAGAGGAUUGGAUGGAGUCCUUAAGGGUCAAGACAGUUCUCUUUUCAGUUCUCAUUUCCCUAACAGGUCCACUGUGGGAUGGCUGCUUCUCUUGACCCAUGGUUUCAGCUCCUGACAGGUAGCCACUCCAUGCAGCCCUUCUCUCAUUGGGUUCUGGUGACCAUCCUCUCCUCUUGCCUCUUUGGGUAUAACAGUGGAUAGUGAUACUCUUGAUAAUAAUACUAUUCCUCAUGGUUUUCCUAUACUGUGACCACACUUUUGUAAAGAGUGAUUUAAUAAAUAUGCAGUAACUGUGGUUCUCAAUGUUCUCCCAUAUCUCUUGAAGCAUUUUGGCAUGCUUUGGUUGACUUACAACUGCUGCACCUGCAUCCUGUGCCUGCAAACAUUUUCUGGAACCUUGGAAGUCUCCUUUGCCCACAACUCUAGGAGGCCAGCUGUGCUGGGAAACUAACAUCCUCCACCCAUGAGCAGAUCUCCAACAAUGGCUCUCAGGAGUUGGUGAAUGAAUACCCAGCUCCCUCAUCCUUGGGUGGUAUCAUGCUAAGGCAUGUGUUUUCAACAACUAUGCACAGAGUUUUCCUAGGUAAUAAACUCUAGUCACCCAUUCUCAGUUAUCUAUUCUUGCCUAACAAACCAACCUAA
This 1527-nucleotide long non-coding RNA is filed under the name Homo sapiens (human). Its description in RNAcentral is "HSALNT0382615". Lineage: Eukaryota; Metazoa; Chordata; Mammalia; Primates; Hominidae. The record is from RNAcentral.